AGUAAAUGUUCAGAAUAAGAACAUCAAAUACUACUCUGAUCCUGGUCAGAGGCAGUGCGGAAGUAUAAAGAUUGCAGUUCGGCUAUGUUGAAAAAAGGUGUCGCAAGUUCUAGAUCCGCUACGGAGUUCCGUGAAGAGGUCGUUGGACCCUGAAAAUGAUGAGCGGUCUUACAAGCACUUCCACGGUGAUGACCUGUCAGGUUUCAGCGAACCCAUGUGCAAAGAAACCCAGAACGAGUCUGCAAAGCGUGAGCCUUUCAAGGAUUUAAGUUCCUUUCUAGCAGUGUUCAAUAUGUGUAAUUUUACUUUCUCUAUGAAGUGAAUUACGCUCAGGUUGUCUCUCAACGGCAUAAAGAAGCUGUUUUCUGCGUUUUUUCAGUUUUUAUAUUGCUAUGAAAUAAAAAUCUAGUCAUUUCCUUUUUGUUUAUUUCUAAAAAUAAAUUGAAUGUUCCCUGA
This is a long non-coding RNA of Ostrea edulis (European flat oyster), 456 nucleotides long. RefSeq lists it as uncharacterized. Lineage: Eukaryota; Metazoa; Mollusca; Bivalvia; Ostreida; Ostreidae. The transcript is spliced from 2 exons. The record is from RefSeq and is a predicted model, not a curated record.